GGAGAGUAGAGAGCAUGGUGCUCAAGCGGUUUUGAAAACCGUUCCACUGCCACUGCGAGCGCGGUGAUGGUUCGAUUCCAUUACUCUCCGCCA
Molecule: transfer RNA, 93 nt
Filed under: Escherichia coli
Lineage: Bacteria; Pseudomonadati; Pseudomonadota; Gammaproteobacteria; Enterobacterales; Enterobacteriaceae
Description: tRNA-Ser
Rfam family: tRNA
About the family: Transfer RNA (tRNA) molecules are approximately 80 nucleotides in length. Their secondary structure includes four short double-helical elements and three loops (D, anti-codon, and T loops). Further hydrogen bonds mediate the characteristic L-shaped molecular structure. tRNAs have two regions of fundamental functional importance: the anti-codon, which is responsible for specific mRNA codon recognition, and the 3' end, to which the tRNAs corresponding amino acid is attached (by aminoacyl-tRNA synthetases). tRNAs cope with the degeneracy of the genetic code in two manners: having more than one tRNA (with a specific anti-codon) for a particular amino acid; and 'wobble' base-pairing, i.e. permitting non-standard base-pairing at the 3rd anti-codon position.
Source: RNAcentral